UUUCAUUUGCGCCGACCUCAGAGCAGGUG
RNAcentral lists this ribosomal RNA (29 nucleotides) under Mnais pruinosa. RNAcentral's name for it is "partial 28S ribosomal RNA". The record is from RNAcentral. Lineage: Eukaryota; Metazoa; Arthropoda; Insecta; Odonata; Calopterygidae. RNAcentral also lists the same sequence under 4 other names.